RNAcentral lists this long non-coding RNA (443 nucleotides) under Hordeum vulgare. RNAcentral describes it as "long non-coding RNA (HVUL_LNC006712)". Lineage: Eukaryota; Viridiplantae; Streptophyta; Magnoliopsida; Poales; Poaceae. The record is from RNAcentral.
GUCGACCGUGGAGCACCGGUAGUUCUUCUCUUCGGGUUGUCCUGUUCAGGGUUUUUUUUAGCCUUAUAUAAACCGUACAACAAUUGCUCUACUACGUUGUCAUGUUUAGGUUGACAGAGAAAUGUGAUGAUGGCGGUAGAAUGUAGGUAACGCUGGGUUUUCUCUUGGCUGAGAUUGGGGAACCAUUCUGCCUGGUCCGCGUCAAGAUUCAGUUACGGAUUUCCAGUUUUGUUCCCCGCGGUUUUGAGCAAGUUGUGUCUGAGAUGAAACUUUUGUCAGUCAAGCUCAAACCUACGGCAUUGGCCAAGUGGUCCAAAUGGAAUGAGCUUAAGCGGUCAAGAGCAUUACACACUGUUUGAUGGAUGUAGCGUAAAAAAAACUGACUUCACAAUACACCAAUUUAUCUAAAUUUGUCGAAAUCCCCAUCCCGCUUAAUUGAGAUA